UACGGAGGGUGCAAGCGUUAUCCGGAAUCAUUGGGUUUAAAGGGUCCGCAGGCGGGUAAAUAAGUCAGAGGUGAAAUCCGGCAGCUCAACUGUCGCACUGCCUUUGAUACUGUUUAUCUUGAAUUUUAGUGGAGUGGGCGGAAUAUGUCAUGUAGCGUUGAAAUGCUUAGAUAUGACGUGGAACACCGAUAGCGAAGGCAGCUCACUAACUAUGAAUUGACGCUCAUGGACGAAAGCGUGGGUAGCAAACAGG
Molecule: ribosomal RNA, 253 nt
Filed under: uncultured bacterium
Lineage: Bacteria
Description: partial 16S ribosomal RNA
Rfam family: Bacterial small subunit ribosomal RNA
Source: RNAcentral